This 376-nucleotide unclassified non-coding RNA is filed under the name soil metagenome. RNAcentral's name for it is "partial contains 5.8S ribosomal RNA, internal transcribed spacer 2, and large subunit ribosomal RNA". The stretch from base 1 to 120 matches the Rfam family "5.8S ribosomal RNA", at positions 35 to 154 of the family's 154-position model. The record is from RNAcentral.
GAUGAAGAACGCAGUGAAAUGCGAUAAGUAAUGUGAAUUGCAGAAUUCAGUGAAUCAUCGAAUCUUUGAACGCAUCUUGCGCUCCUUGGUAUUCUGAGGAGCAUGCCUGUUUGAGUGUCAUUAAAUUCUCAACUACACUGACUUUGAAUUGGUGUGGCUUGGAUUUGGGGGGAAAAUUGUUGUGGGCUUUUUGUAUAGUCUGCUCCCCUGAAAUUGAUUAGCGGUGCCUUUGUGGAACUGUCUACAGGUGUGAUAAUUAUCUACAUCUUAGACAUCUGCUGGAAUGCUGCUUUCUAAACCUUACUUGUAUUGACAAUCUUGACCUCAAAUCAGGUAGGACUACCCGCUGAACUUAAGCAUAUCAAUAAGCGGAGGA